This 63-nucleotide transfer RNA is filed under the name Euspilotus scissus. RNAcentral's name for it is "tRNA-Phe". The record is from RNAcentral. Lineage: Eukaryota; Metazoa; Arthropoda; Insecta; Coleoptera; Histeridae.
AUUUUUAUAGCUUAAAAAGAGCAUUACAUUGAAGAUGUAAGGGUAAUCUGUGAUUUAAAAAUA